RNAcentral lists this ribosomal RNA (501 nucleotides) under uncultured bacterium. RNAcentral describes it as "partial 16S ribosomal RNA". It matches the Rfam family "Bacterial small subunit ribosomal RNA", at positions 30 to 523 of the family's 1533-position model. The record is from RNAcentral.
AUUGAACGCUGGCGGCAGGCUUAACACAUGCAAGUCGAGCGGGGGAAGGUAGCUUGCUACUGGACCUAGCGGCGGACGGGUGAGUAAUGCUUAGGAAUCUGCCUAUUAGUGGGGGACAACAUCUCGAAAGGGAUGCUAAUACCGCAUACGUCCUACGGGAGAAAGCAGGGGAUCUUCGGACCUUGCGCUAAUAGAUGAGCCUAAGUCGGAUUAGCUAGUUGGUGGGGUAAAGGCCUACCAAGGCGACGAUCUGUAGCGGGUCUGAGAGGAUGAUCCGCCACACUGGGACUGGGACACGGCCCAGACUCCUACGGGAGGCAGCAGUGGGGAAUAUUGGACAGUGGGGGGAACCCUGAUCCAGCCACGCCGCGGGUGUGAAGAAGGCCUUAUGGUUGUAAAGCACUUUAAGCGAGGAGGAGGCUACUCUAGUUAAUACCUAGGGAUAGUGGACGUUACUCGCAGAAUAAGCACCGGCUAACUCUGUGCCAGCCGCCGCAGUAA